AAGAAUUUAUAAUCCGGCGAAAGGGGGAUGGGGGAAGCUGUCGCUGGCCUUUUGCGAGGCAUGUGCACGCUUUCUUCUGAACCCUCAGCCGUAUGGGCGCGGGGCGACCCGCGUCUUCAUAUACCCCUUCGUGUAGAAAGUCUUUGAACGUUAUAAAAUCAUCGAGUCGCGACUUCUAGGAGACGCGAUUCUUUGAGACAAAAGUUAUUA
Molecule: unclassified non-coding RNA, 210 nt
Filed under: uncultured Suillus
Lineage: Eukaryota; Fungi; Basidiomycota; Agaricomycetes; Boletales; Suillaceae
Description: sequence contains ITS1
Source: RNAcentral